RNAcentral lists this ribosomal RNA (253 nucleotides) under uncultured bacterium. Its description in RNAcentral is "partial 16S ribosomal RNA". It matches the Rfam family "Bacterial small subunit ribosomal RNA", at positions 526 to 779 of the family's 1533-position model. The record is from RNAcentral.
CGUAGGGUGCAAGCGUUAAUCGGAAUUACUGGGCGUAAAGCGUGCGCAGGCGGCUUUGCAAGACAGAUGUGAAAUCCCCGGGCUUAACCUGGGAACUGCAUUUGUGACUGCAUGGCUAGAGUGCGGCAGAGGGGGAUGGAAUUCCGCGUGUAGCAGUGAAAUGCGUAGAUAUGCGGAGGAACACCGAUGGCGAAGGCAAUCCCCUGGGCCUGCACUGACGCUCAUGCACGAAAGCGUGGGAGCAAACAGGAUU